GACGAACGCUGGCGGCGUGCCUAAUACAUGCAAGUAGAACGCUGAAGGAGGAGCUUGCUUCUCUGGAUGAGUUGCGAACGGGUGAGUAACGCGUAGGUAACCUGCCUGGUAGCGGGGGAUAACUAUUGGAAACGAUAGCUAAUACCGCAUAAUAGUAGAUGUUGCAUGACAUUUGCCUAAAAGGUGCAAUUGCAUCACUACCACAUGGACCUGCGUUGUAUUAGCUAGUUGGUGGGGUAACGGCUCACCAAGGCGACGAUACAUAGCCGACCUGAGAGGGGGAUCGGCCACACUGGGACUGAGAAACGGCCCAGACGCCUACGGGAGGCAGCAGUAGGGAAUCUUCGGCAAUGGACGGAAGUCUGACCGAGCAACGCCGCGUGAGUGAAGAAGGUUUUCGGAUCGUAAAGCUCUGUUGUAAGAGAAGAAAGAGUGUGAGAGUGGAAAGUUCACACUGUGACGGUAUCUUACCAGAAAGGGACGGCUAACUACGUG
RNAcentral lists this ribosomal RNA (495 nucleotides) under uncultured bacterium. RNAcentral describes it as "partial 16S ribosomal RNA". It matches the Rfam family "Bacterial small subunit ribosomal RNA", at positions 28 to 507 of the family's 1533-position model. The record is from RNAcentral.